CAGUCGCCGCGGUAAUACGGAGGGUGCAAGCGUUAAUCGGAAUUACUGGGCGUAAAGCGUGCGUAGGCGGUUCGUUAAGUCUGUUGUGAAAGCCCCGGGCUCAACCUGGGAAUGGCAAUGGAUACUGGCGAGCUAGAGUGUGUCAGAGGAUGGUGGAAUUCCCGGUGUAGCGGUGAAAUGCGUAGAGAUCGGGAGGAACAUCAGUGGCGAAGGCGGCCAUCUGGGACAACACUGACGCUGAGGCACGAAAGCGUGGGGAGCAAACAGGAUUAGAUACCCCAGUAGUCCCUGUCUCUUAUAA
RNAcentral lists this ribosomal RNA (301 nucleotides) under uncultured bacterium. RNAcentral describes it as "partial 16S ribosomal RNA". It matches the Rfam family "Bacterial small subunit ribosomal RNA", at positions 509 to 809 of the family's 1533-position model. The record is from RNAcentral.